UUCCUUUUUCAAAAUCAUUGGAUGCAUCGAUAAAUAAUACGUUGUCGUCUUGUUGGCGACAUUUUUUAAAUACAAGGAUACAUGUUGGAAUACUUGUUCCAUAGAAAAUGUUCGCUGGUAACCCAAUCACGGCUUCUAAGUAGUUCUUUUCUUCAAUUAAAUAACGACGAAUGACACCUUCUGCGGCACCACGGAAUA
Molecule: small RNA, 198 nt
Filed under: Staphylococcus aureus
Lineage: Bacteria; Bacillati; Bacillota; Bacilli; Caryophanales; Staphylococcaceae
Description: 5'UTR
Source: RNAcentral